Molecule: transfer RNA, 72 nt
Filed under: Candidatus Levyibacteriota bacterium
Lineage: Bacteria; Candidatus Levyibacteriota
Also listed under: 1 other name
Description: tRNA-Gly
Rfam family: tRNA
About the family: Transfer RNA (tRNA) molecules are approximately 80 nucleotides in length.
Source: RNAcentral
GCGGCGGUAAUUCACCGGUAGAAUGUCUCCUUCCCAAGGAGAAUGUAGAGGGUUCGACUCCCUUUCGCCGCU